This 468-nucleotide ribosomal RNA is filed under the name uncultured bacterium. Its description in RNAcentral is "partial 16S ribosomal RNA". It matches the Rfam family "Bacterial small subunit ribosomal RNA", at positions 28 to 507 of the family's 1533-position model. The record is from RNAcentral.
GACGAACGCUGGCGGCGUGCUUAACACAUGCAAGUCGAACGGAAAGGCCCUGCUUUUGUGGGGUGCUCGAGUGGCGAACGGGUGAGUAACACGUGAGUAACCUGCCCUUGACUGUGGGAUAACUUCAGGAAACUGGGGCUAAUACCGGAUAGGAGCUCCUGCUGCAUGGUGGGGGUUGGAAAGAUUCGGCGGUUGGGGAUGGACUCGCGGCUUAUCAGCUUGUUGGUGGGGUAGUGGCUUACCAAGGCUUUGACGGGUAGCCGGCCUGAGAGGGUGACCGGCCACAUUGGGACUGAGAUACGGCCCAGACUCCUACGGGAGGCAGCAGGGGGGAAUAUUGCACAAUGGGCGGAAGCCUGAUGCAGCAACGCCGCGUGCGGGAUAACGGCCUUCGGGUUGUAAACCGCUUUCGCCUGUGACGAAGCGUGAGUGACGGUAAUGGGUAAAGAAGCACCGGCUAACUACGUG